GUGGGGAAUUGUUCGCAAUGGGCGAAAGCCUGACGACGCAACGCCGCGUGGAGGAUGAAGAUCUUCGGGUCGUAAACUCCUGUCGAAUGGGACGAACGGCCUGGCCGCUAACACCGGCCGGGAAUGACGGUACCGUGAGAGGAAGCCCCGGCUAACUCCGUGCCAGCAGCCGCGGUAAUACGGGGGGGGCGAGCGUUGUUCGGAAUUACUGGGCGUAAAGGGCUCGUAGGCGGCCUUCUAAGUCAGACGUGAAAUCCCUCGGCUCAACCGGGGAACUGCGUCUGAUACUGGAAGGCUUGAAUCCGGGAGAGGGACGUGGAAUUCCAGGUGUAGCGGUGAAAUGCGUAGAUAUCUGGAGGAACACCGGUGGCGAAGGCGGCGUCCUGGACCGGUAUUGACGCUGAGGAGCGAAAGCCAGGGGAGCAAACGGGAUUAGAUACCCCAGUAGUCC
RNAcentral lists this ribosomal RNA (451 nucleotides) under uncultured bacterium. RNAcentral describes it as "bacterial SSU rRNA". It matches the Rfam family "Bacterial small subunit ribosomal RNA", at positions 354 to 796 of the family's 1533-position model. The record is from RNAcentral.